Long non-coding RNA from Pimephales promelas (fathead minnow), 3169 nucleotides. RefSeq lists it as uncharacterized. NCBI's taxonomy places the organism in Eukaryota, Metazoa, Chordata, Actinopteri, Cypriniformes, Leuciscidae. The record is from RefSeq and is a predicted model, not a curated record.
CCAGAGUGACACUCGUAGAGAACGGCAAAAGCUGCAGCCUCAAACACACACACACGCGCACACACAUAGAACAGCAGAUCUUAACAGGAUACUGCAGUCAGUAACAGGCACAUGAGCACUGGAGGAAAUGGAGUGACAAGAAAAAGGAAGACACACAUCACACAGUGCCAUGUGUGCAGGACAGAGAAACAGACUGAGCGCUAUCAGCGGCGAUGGAGCGCGGAGGAAGAUUGCGAGCAUGCACAAGUCAAACAAAAGUGCCUCAGAUGACGAUUCAGGACGGACUUGCUAAAACUGAAUCACACACUCAUCCUGCUCUGCGCAGGCUUUUUUAGAUGUUCAACUCCACAUAAGUGACAGCUCUGUUCCCCAGCAGCCAUUAAGAGCACCGCUGGACUGACACUGCCACGACUCCUAUACGCCACCCGGCACAAUGUGACCACAAAAGGGAUCACUUUCAUGGCACUUUCUUGGCGUUCAAACUACUUUGAAGACCCCAUUUCCUUGGCAAAGCUGAAUCAGCCUUGAAAAAUGCAACACGGCUGAGUCAUACUUCCUCCUGGAUAUGACAGUGCUUCCUCCACAAACUGACCCCCUUUAAAAUGUUAAAGGGACGGAACAUGGAAGAAGUGAGCAGCCAGGCAAUGAGUCCACUCUGGUUUCAAACGUAAGAUGAAUAAACCUGGAAAUAAAACACAGGCUCGUUCAAAAUAAAUGACUCAGAAUGCAUGUGAUAUGGUCUUGAUUUGUCUGCUUAUAGCCUGUUGUACAUCAUAUACACUAACGUUCAAAUGUUUGGGGUCAGAUUGUUUUUAAAUACUUGUAUUUACAGCAAGAAUGCGUUAAAUUUAUCAAAAGUGACAGUAAAGACUUUUCCAUUGUUACAAAAAUAUAUAAAGUUCAAAUUUUCAUGUUUUAAACUUUAUUUUAAUCUAAAUAAGGGGGGGUAUCCCAUUUUCCACAAUUAAACAUGACACAAAAUAUCAAUAAAUAGGCCUACACGUACAACAAUUGAUAACACAUUCAUGUGUGAUAGACAGUGCAAGGGGAAUUCCACAGACUGAUGGAAAACCUGUUGCACUUCUGCAAAUACAGCGUCGAGAUGAACUAAACAAUCAUGUAAGUGUCGUUUGAGUAAUUAACUGUAAUAUAAAGCAAAGAAGGGAAAGUGCUGCCAACAAAACGUGUGUUGCACGAGUAAACAAACACAGUCCCCAUACGCCUGACAAACACACACCCUGGUCAAUCGGUACGUCAUUUCUGCAGGUGUCCGAAACAGGAUCUUUCCUCUCUGCUUUGUUGACACAUAACAGCACAGCCAUAAAAGACAACGGCAAUCGUCAGAUGAUGACGCCGGCGUAGGGCAUCAGCCACAGAUGGAUUGUCCCAAUGAUGUCAUUACAAGCCCUCAAACCCGGACUGAUUACUUAAUAAAUAAAUAAUGUAGAGAGAAAACAUUUAGUUUUCCACUGACAAGAACCUUGAACUCCACUCACUAAAGCUUAAAAGUCAUAAAGGAAUUCUGCUCCAAUUGAUUCAUCAUGAUCUCAGUGUAAAACUUUAAGCUUUCGUUUUCCUUGAACUCUAGAGACUCGAGGGGUAUUCUAAACCGAGUGAACAAGAAAUGACUGACUCAUACAGGGAGCAAUUAAGCGUUGUAGGAAGAGAGCGGACAAAUAUGGGCUCUCCUCUCACUCAUUGAAGGCAGAUCCGUCGAGAGCGUGUGGACCGGAUCAGGAGCGGUUGAAACCACACUGGAGCCCACAGGGACCCUGAAGGUGUUCUGUUUGUGUGCCAGCAUGGCCAUGCUGAUUCAUUCACUAUACCGCAACCCAAACCUUCCUACAAACCCCAGCAUUUAACUCUUGGCUGCAACUGUCACCCUAUCUGAUUCCUCUUAGCUGAAGCAACAACCCAGACAGACAUAACGGUUUUUAGAUCUGUUCUAAACAUAGCCUACUUAUAUUUAAAGUAUGAAUUUGAGUUGAAGUUGCUUUCAGACUGGGACAGUGUUUGUGCAUUCACUAAUUCAUUUUGUCCUGCAGUCUUUAUGAGGUUAUAGUUUUCAUAUCCCAAAUAUUUCAAAUCACUAAUAGGUUUUUGCUUCUAGUGGUUAUGUAUCAACUAAAUAGUUCAAAUCCCUUUUUAAAUUACAAUAUUUUUAUGAAUUCUGUCCUUCAAAAUUACAACGACAUCAUAAUUUACUUGGACUAAGAGACUGCACUCUGUUCGAGACAAGAAUGUUUUUCUAAAUGUCCGGUCGGGAAAGUUGUCUCAAAUGUUAUACUUUUUAUCAAUUGCAUUAAUAUUUGUUAAAUAAAGGUUUGGGAUUUCUGUGUAUUAUAUUUCUGUUUCAUUUUUGCUUUACUGUUAAGUUAGGCAACUUAACCCAGAUAGUAGGAUGAGGGAUGUUAUCACAAACGGUCUUUUUGUGUUUAAUGAAAUUAACUUUCCCCCCUGCGCAAUAGCAGUGGAAAAGUUCAACAGAAUACAGAAAUGGACUUGCUUUCAGGGCAUAGAGUAAAACGUGUGACAAGGCUAACCCUUUAUUGCCCUCUGAAUAUGAUUGCAACAGAAGCAUAAAUCUAUCGAAGGUAGCCUAGCCUAUAUAAGAGAGUCAAAAAAUCUGUAAUGUAUGGGGAUGUCAUAAACAAAUCCAUCUUUUACUUUUAUGCUAUAGCCAAACAUUUUAAGUGUGAGCUGCUUGAAAGUUUUCCAUCCUGUUAGAACUGACUUUUCAUCCAUAAAAACUUCCUGCCGGUUUACUCAUGAAUUAGAAAUGACACCUUAAAAAGUAAUGCAACUACAAAUUAAAUGAAGUUUAAGCCAUAUAGGUCUAGGCUAUUUUACCACAUUUAGGCUAUUAUUUCAAUGUAAAACAUAACGCAUCGUGCAUGAUUCUAAUUAUUGCUAAAAAAUAGCCUACUUAAAUUGCAUAAUCAUGAUGAAUAGGCUACUAAGUUUUUAAAGCUCUCAGCGACAAUUCGCAUGUGGCUCCUUGUUUGUAGGCUGAUACAGCUGUCUAAAUUGUCUAAAAUCAGUUGGAGUUGUGAACACCGCCAUCGCGUGGUUUUUAUGUCAAAAACCACAAUACUUACUUUACAGUGCCUCAGACAAAGGCAAAUAAAUUUAGAUACCUACUUAUUCUUAUUUUAGUUCCUACACAGAU